AAAAACUUAGGAUAAACAAACCAAAAGCCUUCAAAGCUUGAAAUAAGGGUGCAACCCCCUUAGUUUUUG
RNAcentral lists this transfer RNA (69 nucleotides) under Anolis cybotes (large-headed anole). Its description in RNAcentral is "tRNA-Trp". It matches the Rfam family "tRNA". Rfam says of the family: Transfer RNA (tRNA) molecules are approximately 80 nucleotides in length. Their secondary structure includes four short double-helical elements and three loops (D, anti-codon, and T loops). Lineage: Eukaryota; Metazoa; Chordata; Lepidosauria; Squamata; Anolidae. The record is from RNAcentral.